This 64-nucleotide transfer RNA is filed under the name Gyrodactylus derjavinoides. RNAcentral's name for it is "tRNA-Gly". Lineage: Eukaryota; Metazoa; Platyhelminthes; Monogenea; Gyrodactylidea; Gyrodactylidae. The record is from RNAcentral.
AACAAUGUUAUUAUAACAAAUAUACUAUCUUUCCAAGUUAGAGAUCCUAGGAUUAGGAUAUUGU